GUCGGAGACGCACUGUGGGACGCGGUUCUUAGCAACGGCACAGACUCUGAAUCGACCCGCCAGCUAAGUCCCGCCCGGCGGGAGGUGCUCCGCGCGUUACUAAAGAUGACAGCCGAAAGAAACACGGCGGCGGUGGUCUUCCUGGUACUACUCCUAGCCCUGCCGGCCGCUACGAACAGCUCUGACGCGUGCGCGGCACCAGGUUUCUCCUCCACCCCCGCCCCGAGCGUCUCAAAGAGAGAAGGCUCCGUGGUUCGGUUUUUCGGUCUCGGCAGAGCUGCUUCCGUUAAAGGCGUGGCUGGGAAGGUUGCCAGCUCUGUGGCGGAGUUGAAAAUGAGCGUGCCGUACGAUCCCGGCGGGCACCCGUGUCGCCCGCCCCGCGCGCCCGCCUCCGCCCUCCUUCCCUACUGGAGCCGCGCCCGGUAGCCCGAUUGUAGCCACGUUGACCGCAGGAGCAAUACGCGGUUCGCAACAAGGUUGCCGGCUAUUUGCCUUUAUAGUACCAUCUGUGACUGAAGCAGAGCCUGCGAGCCGCUCUGAGUACACAACUUUGCCGCGAGGCAUGCAGACCACACCAACUCUCUGCUGAUUGUUCGUUGCAAAGCAUUGCAAGCCCCCGAAAAGAACUGGGCGUGUGCCAUUGUUUAUCACUAUGUGAAUGACUUUGUUUUCUGUCCCCGCUGACGAGUCUUAGUCUCCGAGAGACAUCUCGUCUUGCUUCAGCUCUGUGGGCUGACGGAGCGCUGGGAGAGAUGCGCUUGGGACUGAGUUGCGGCUGACACACCCAUGAUGGCGGCUGCCCGUAGCGACUCACUGACACACCCGCGAUGGCGGCUGCCCGUAGCGACUCACUGACACACCCAUGAUGGCGGCUGCCCGUAGCGACUCACUGACACACCCAUGAUGGCGGCUGCCCGCAGCGACCGCCGGCAGCCAGUUACAAUCGCUUCUCAGCUUGGAAAAGUUUUCGGACCUGCCGCGCGGAGGGCGGCUGCCUGCCGCUGUGUGUACUGUGUCGAAUCUGCCGCUGUAGCCCGCGCGUCCCCGCGGAUGACUGCACGCGAUACAGGACACGGACUUUUAGUUUUCAGCCGGUAAAAGACGCUACUGAAGGUACAGAGGAACGGACGGUAAAGAGAGAAUGGACCGACGGCAGACGCGACCGCACCGGACGGCUCGGGACCCUCCCUUUCCCGCUGCUCGGCGGAACAGUCUUCAGAUCCGCCCCCUUCACCGCCGCCCGCCCGCCCCAUCUCCGACGGACCGCAUCCCAAAGCCGAGGGGUCUCCCGCGAGCCUUCAACAGCUGGGGGACUGAGGGAGAUGCUGAGGGGAGGCAGCGAAGCCUCGAAGCUGUCUUGACAACACCAGAUGCGAGGAGAGAGCUCUUCACUGAGGGACUGAUUGGAUACUGGAAUGGGCUCCCCGGGGAGGUGGUAAAGUCGCCGUCCCUGGUGCCCUGGAGCUGUUCAAGGCAAGGUUGGACGUGGCGCUUGGUGCCAUGGUCUGACCUUGAGCCCCGUGGUGAAGGGUUGGACUUGAUGACCUAUGAGGUCUCUUCCAACCCUGAUGGUACUGUGAUACUAUGCUACUGCAGACAGAUGUCAGAAAGUUUAUGGAAAUGGUAGCAAGAAUGAUGAGGACGACUUAGGACCAUUUUUGCCCCUGUUACAGGCAUGGACACGCACAGGUGUAUUUUUUUAGUCACCUGAUGAUAACAGUUCGGAUUCGAAAUGAUAGCUAGUAGUUCCUGGCUGGGGUAUUUACCAUCGCCUUACUGGUUAAUUCUUUCUACAGACUACGCAACAAUGACUUUUGCACCCCCUGCUCAGUGGCAAAAAGAAAAAGAGGGAGAUUGCUAGGACAUAGCAGAGAUGCUAAUGCCACUGACCAUGGGUGGAAACUUAUACAGACACGGAAGGCACCAAGCAGGACAGACUAGAACUCAGAUGCAUUGCCUCUCACAGCGAGGGUGUAGGCACUGAGAUCCACAUUGCAAGUCACUAACCAGAUUCUGGACUAGGAGCAGGGAAUGAUAGAGCUUGUAGGCUAAUGCCAGUCAGCUCCUUCCCCCAAUAACAGAUACAGACAGGACUAGUAUAGAAGUUUACUGGAACAGCUGCUAAUUGCAAUGAAAUGAGCCUUGUGACAAUUCUGACUUUUCCCUUUUCUGAGAAUACCAUGGUAUUGAUAUCUUCUUGGGUUUUCUUUGCUUUUCUUGAAGUUCCUAUAGCUGACAGAUAUUUAGGGUAAGAUAAGUUAAGACUAAGGGUUGUAGUUUUGGGAACUUAGGACAUAAGGAUGUUAUGGGAUGUUUUUCUUGGGUAUAUCUAGGCAUUAUUGAAAAGGGGAAAAUGGGUUAGAGGACAGUAGGAUAGCAGAAGAAAUCUUUUCUUUUCUCGAGAUUUUUCUAAUCACAGCAUACAGACUAGGCCAGUGGAUCUGCUAGCCUAGGCAAUGGAUGUGUCUGCAUUUGUUCUUGUAUCUGCUUGUGUUUGACCAUUUAUCUUCACAGGCCUUGAUGAAGACCAACCUGAUUAUGACCAACCUGUUUUUUCCCUAAAGUGAGCAGAAGUCUUGCUCAGAUGGCAGAACUGUGAAAGGACUUGAAAGAAGCACUGACAUGAUGAUUGUAUUUGUAUGGAUCUUUAAGGUUUGGACCAUGGCUAACGAAUUUGGGUAUUUUAUGAGUUUUCAGUGGUUGUGGUUUAAUGGAAUAGGUUCAGUUUAACAGCUUUGUAAAGGCCAAGGCCCACUCAAAUUGGCAUAAGAUGGCAAUGUGACCUUUUUCUCUCUUGCAAGGGCCCUGCAAGAGAUAAAAAAAAAACACUGCCCCAAAUUCUGAAAGCAGAUGAAGAACUGUGGGAAAAGGCCUAACUAGAAUGGACUGAUAGUAACAUCUAGGGCAUAUCUUUGUAUUGUAUUUAGAGGUCUGUAGUUCUUAAGCACAAUAGUCAGACACAGGUCAUAGCUAAGGAGUGUAAUGAGAACAUCGAGUGAACCCAGAACUAUGGAGUCUGAGAAGAAUACUCGACAGCUGAUUGACCUACAAAUCUGCAAUGUCGACUGCCACACAGAGCCAGCGAAGACGUGGCACACCUGCACUCUCCUGUGACUGUGAUGUUCGUCUGGACUUUUGGGUUUCUGAACGAAUGACUUACUGUCGCUUGCAGAAAUAGCUUUUGGGAUUGUUAGCUAAGCUUGGGUUGUUAGCUUGCCAGACUAAUGCUACUGAUGAAAGCUCUAACAGGUUUAUUCCUUCAAUUGUAGCACUGUUGAUUUGUAGCUGCACCAUUCACCCCUGUGUUAAACAUCCUAUGAUAACUUCCUUAGCAAUGAGGGCGGACACUGCGGUUCAAACGACACUGACAAGGCCCAUAUUAGACCUUUAGGUGCUUUUGGAGCAAACAAUUGGCGUUAUGGUGUUAAAGCAUCAAGAAGGGGCCGAGGUCAUCUGUUGUGGAACAACAGAACCGCUAAGGCACUUCCCACUGGUGUGUUCCUUAUUUGUGGUGAUAGAGCCUGGCAAGGCAUACCAAAGAACGUUUAUGGAGGUCCAUGUUAUCUGGGUAAACUGACAAUGUUUGCCCCUCAUCUUAGUCAGCUCAGGGACCUAGCCCGACACCAAUCUAAGUGAUCUCUAAAAUUGAGUCCUAAUUGCAAUGACAACGUUCAAUUGUUAUCCACAGCUGCUCGUGUUGCCUUAGCUGUAUUUCUACCAGGAGGAGCAGCUGGAAAAGCAUUAGUACAGCUAGAGAGACUCGCGCGUUGGUCAGCAAAACAAGCCAAUGUCACCACAAAGGUUUUAGGACAACUAUUGGUUGAUCAAAAUUGCCUUCGUCAUGCCCUAUUGCAAAAUCGAGCAACCGUUGAUUUUCUUUGCUAGCCCAAGGAUAUGGCUGCAAGGACUUCGAAGGGAUGUGUUGUUUGAAUUUAUCAGAUCAUGGUGAGUCCAUUCACAAGAGUAUAACCUGGUUGAAAGGUCAUAUUGACAAGAUGGAAAAGGAAACAUUGACCUUUGAUGACUGGUUGCAGCACCUGUUUGAGACAAUCCCGGGGUGGUUAAGCAGCUUAUUAGGAGAAGGCUUACGGUUAUUUGCUAUUUUCAUAAUAAUUUUGCUAUGCGCUUGUAUUGUCUUUGCUUGCAUUAAGAAGAGCUUAACUAAGGUAGUUAGCCAGGUGUGGGUUGCUCAAAAGAAAAAGAGGGAAUUGUGGAAGAAUUUCUCGCCAGUCGAGGACAUAAAGUCAUAAACAUGGGUAACUGCCGCUGAGAACGUCCUUGGUUCCCAGCGAGGCUAGGAAAUCGAGAUGUAAACAACUGAGCACCCCACACACAGCUGCAGUGGGCAGAGACUAGAUAACCAAGGGGGCUGGAGUGGGUGGUCUGGAAGGCUGACCCUUAGAAUGUUGUGAUAAGUUAACCUAUGCACACCUUACAUGUAACUCUGGACCCUCUGACUGUAACCAAUCUUAAGCUGAGCACGCCUCUUGCUAGAAUGCAUAUAAGUCACUGUAUCACGGAAAUAAAGUGGAUUUGACCAUCUAACCA
Molecule: long non-coding RNA, 4548 nt
Organism: Pogoniulus pusillus (Red-fronted tinkerbird)
Lineage: Eukaryota; Metazoa; Chordata; Aves; Piciformes; Lybiidae
Exons: 2
Source: RefSeq, a predicted model, not a curated record